ACGCUCGACACCUACGGGAGACAGCAGUGGGGAAUAUUGCACAAUGGGGGAAACCCUGAUGCAGCGACGCCGCGUGGAGGAAGAAGGUCUUCGGAUUGUAAACUCCUGUUGUUGGGGAAAAAGAGGAUGGUACCCAACAAGGAAGUGACGGCUAACUACGUGCCAGCNGCGNGUAUNGAGGCGGGCGUGGACGAAGGC
This 198-nucleotide ribosomal RNA is filed under the name uncultured bacterium. RNAcentral's name for it is "partial 16S ribosomal RNA". It matches the Rfam family "Bacterial small subunit ribosomal RNA", at positions 328 to 545 of the family's 1533-position model. The record is from RNAcentral.